Molecule: small RNA, 131 nt
Filed under: Salmonella enterica
Lineage: Bacteria; Pseudomonadati; Pseudomonadota; Gammaproteobacteria; Enterobacterales; Enterobacteriaceae
Also listed under: 6 other names
Description: RtT sRNA
Rfam family: RtT RNA
About the family: This family represents a bacterial cis-regulatory element known as RtT RNA. The exact function of RtT is unknown although it is thought that it may be involved in changing the cellular response in relation to amino acid starvation.
Source: RNAcentral
AUAUCUCUCUGUACGGGAAGGAUGAGAAGCUUCGACUAAGGUUCGAUUCGAGCGCAGCGAGAAAGCGUUGCCAACGGCAACGACCCGAAGGGCGAAGCGCGCAGCGCUGAGUAAUCCUUCCCCCGUCAUCC